RNA transcript from Etheostoma cragini (Arkansas darter), 1729 nucleotides. It is a transcript of the gene named farnesyl diphosphate synthase (farnesyl pyrophosphate synthetase, dimethylallyltranstransferase, geranyltranstransferase), with no coding region annotated. The transcript has 10 exons. NCBI's taxonomy places the organism in Eukaryota, Metazoa, Chordata, Actinopteri, Perciformes, Percidae. The record is from RefSeq and is a predicted model, not a curated record.
UCGCUCUCGUUUGUUGAGUUCAGCGGACUCCGAGACCAUGGAGCUAACUACGUUGGUAACAUUAGUUUUCCUCAACCGAAACAAAUGCAACGUUAUAUUGUUUCCUGUUAGCUAGCUACGCUGCUGCUAGCUAAUGUUACAGUCCGACAUGCUUGAGCUUAGCUUGUUUACGGUUAGUCAGAGGUUUUGGACGGUUGGUGGAGAAUGAGCCGUCACCUGAGCUUGAUCAUUAAUGCCCCUAAAAUAAUACGGACCAUGUGGAAGGCCGUGUUUCCUCUUAAAUUAGAAAUCACACCUAUUCUGUUGUGUAUAUCGUCUUUCCAGGGAGACAGCAAUUGCAAUGGGACGCACAGCAACAAAAAAGCGUUGCUGUCAGAUCCUCAGCUGUUUGACACCCAGUUUGAUGAGUUGGUGACGGAGCUUUCAGAGAGGGACUUCGCCGACCCUGCGCUGGCUGAUGCUCUGGCCAGGUUGAGAGAGGUUUUGGUGUACAAUUCCCCUGGAGGCAAGAGGAACCGGGGCCUGUCUGUGAUUGGAACCCUUAGGGAGCUUCUCCCACCUUCGCAGCUCACACAGGACACAGUGCAGCGGGCUCUGUUGGUUGGCUGGUGCAUUGAGUUGCUUCAGGCAUUUUUCCUGGUGGCAGAUGAUAUCAUGGAUGGAUCGGUGACCCGGAGAGGACAGCCCUGCUGGUACAAAAAGGAUGGCAUAGGUCUGGAUGCAAUCAAUGAUUCAUUUCUCUUAGAAGGGUCAAUCUACAGACUGCUUCGCAGACAUUGCAGGGAUCAGCCUUACUACGUUCGCCUGCUGGAGCUAUUUACUGAGGUAACUUUCCAGACCGAGCUUGGCCAAGCUUUGGACCUUAUGACGGCUCCACCUGGUCAGGUUGACCUCAACAGAUUCACCAUUGAGAGAUAUAAAGCUAUUGUGAAAUACAAGACGGCCUUUUACUCUUUUUAUCUCCCAGUGGCAGCUGCAAUGUACAUUGCAGGAAUUGAGAGUGAAGUGGAACACAAUAAUGCCAAAAACAUCUUACUGGAGAUGGGAGAGUUCUUUCAAAUACAGGAUGACUACUUAGACUGUUAUGGAGACCCUGCUGUGACAGGAAAGAUUGGUACAGACAUCCAGGAUAACAAAUGCAGCUGGCUGGUGGUGACGGCCCUGGAAACCAUGACCCCUGAACAGCGAGCAGAGCUGGAGGGAUGUUACGGACGCCACGAUGAUGCCUGUGUAAAAAAGGUCAAAGCACUGUACAACACCCUGCAAAUGCCAGAACUGUACCACAAAUAUGAGGAAGAGAGCUACAAGCGGCUACAGAAACUAAUUGCUUGUCACGCUCAAAACCUUCCUCACUCAGUCUUCCUCAACUUCGCCGACAAAAUCUAUAAGCGGAUCAAGUGAGAGGUAAAGGGGGCUUGUAUCAUGAUGCACAUAUCAACUCCUUUUUUAUUCCUCCACUGCCAACAGCAUGAUCUGAACAGCACAUAGAAAUCAGUUUCUUAACUUGGUUUGUGGAUGUUUGGUUGUGAAUGUCAUCAAACAGCCUGCCUCUUUUGCUCCAUAAUUCCUAUUUAUUGAAACCAGUACAUAAUGUAGAGUGUCUUCAGUUGUUUCUUCCCGGAAGAAUACCAUGGAUAAAAGGACACUGAAAGGAAGCGCACAUUGUCUAUAAAGUAUAAUGUCUGUACUGGCCUGAAUGUUAUUGCUUUUAAUAAAUAUUGGAUAAACA